Molecule: ribosomal RNA, 253 nt
Filed under: uncultured bacterium
Lineage: Bacteria
Description: partial 16S ribosomal RNA
Rfam family: Bacterial small subunit ribosomal RNA
Source: RNAcentral
GACAGAGGGUGCAAACGUUGUUCGGAAUUACUGGGCGUAAAGGGCUCGUAGGCGGCCAACUAAGUCGGAUGUGAAAUCCCCAGGCUCAACCUGGGAACUGCAUCCGAUACUGGAUGGCUUGAAUUCGGGAGAGGGAUGCAGAAUUCCAGGUGUAGCGGUGAAAUGCGUAGAUAUCUGGAGGAAUACCGGUGGCGAAGGCGGCAUCCUGGACCGACAUUGACGCUGAUGAGCGAAAGCUAGGGGAGCAAACGGG